This is a long non-coding RNA of Nerophis ophidion (straightnose pipefish), 674 nucleotides long. RefSeq lists it as uncharacterized. The record is from RefSeq and is a predicted model, not a curated record. Lineage: Eukaryota; Metazoa; Chordata; Actinopteri; Syngnathiformes; Syngnathidae. The transcript has 4 exons.
ACUACAAGCGACCUUUUCCGCUUUAUUGAUUUCAUUUAAAGUACGAGCGUACACACAACAGCGGUCUCUUUGAAUAGUGUUUGUUUCUACUAAGGAAAAGUGAUUGGGGAUGUCAAAAAAAAAAAAAAAAAGUCGAUUUCGGUGGCGACUCAUAAUUUUCCUGCGUUACUAUGCACAGCAUUACGGCAGUGACAUGCGCGUGGUGGUAACCAUGGAGACCAGCCGCGGGACGCGGUAGUUUCGUGUUAACUAGACGCGAACAUUAAAAGGUAUUUUGGUUUAAUUACGGCGAUUAUAACUAAAUACGCUAAAUGUAAUUAAAUAAUACAACAUAUGAGUGAAAGGUGGGCGGAGUUUGAUUGACUGGCGUAAACACCAAACUAGCAUGGCACGUCUACGGGACACUAUAUUGUCAUUUAAGUCAUUUAAAGUGUGACAUUUAAUUUUUCUAAGUUCCCCCCAAUGCAUAGAGAAGUGUACAUACCUCAUCAUGGCUCCAAAGAAAAAGGGCAAAAAGGGACCCAAGUUGACCAAAAAAGAAAAGGCGAGGCUGAAGCAAGAGGAGGAGGAAAGAAGGCUACGAGAGGAAGAGGAGGCCCGCAUUCAAGCAGAGAGGGAAGAACAGGAGCGGCUGGAAAGACAAAGAAGGCAGGAGAUCUUGGACAGACUCGAGG